RNAcentral lists this ribosomal RNA (458 nucleotides) under uncultured bacterium. Its description in RNAcentral is "partial 16S ribosomal RNA". It matches the Rfam family "Bacterial small subunit ribosomal RNA", at positions 338 to 795 of the family's 1533-position model. The record is from RNAcentral.
CCUACGGGUGGCUGCAGUGAGGAAUAUUGGUCAAUGGUCGAGAGCCUGAACCAGCCAAGCCGCGUGAGGGAGUAAUGCACUGUGGGUCGUAAACCUCUUUUGUCGGGGAACAAAAGCCGGACGUCUUCCCCUGUUAGGUUACCCUUAGGAAAAGCCACGGCAUAACUCCUUACAGCCGGCGCGGUAAUUCGGAGGAUGCGAGCGUUAUUCGGAUUUAUUGGGUUUAAAGGGUGCGCCGGCGGAAGAUCAAGUUCGCGGUAAAAUGGAGGGGCUCAACCCCUUCGAGCCGUUGAAACUGGUUGUCUGGAGUGGGCGAGAAGUAUGCGGAAUGCGUGGUGUAGCGGUGAAAUGCAUAGAUAUCACGCAGAACUCCGAUUGCGAAGGCAGCAUACCGGCGCCCAACUGACGCUCAUGCACGAAAGCGUGGGUAUCGAACAGGAUUAGAUACCCGAGUAGUC